AUGAUUUUGCAGUUGUGGCACAACCUAUUCUGCUAAAUUUUACAUUGCCAGUUGAAUCAGAUGGAUAUAUCGAUAUGUCAGCGUUAAGUAUGGAUUGUUUUCACGGCAGUCAAAAAACUUAUGCUUUGUAUGCAAAUGGUCUGUGGAACAAUUUGUUAGAACCAGUGGGAGCUAAAUCGACGAACUACUC
Molecule: long non-coding RNA, 190 nt
Organism: Pseudomyrmex gracilis
Lineage: Eukaryota; Metazoa; Arthropoda; Insecta; Hymenoptera; Formicidae
Exons: 2
Source: RefSeq, a predicted model, not a curated record